AGAAAAGGCAGGGACGGGAUGGCCGAGCACAGCCCCGAGCCUCAGGGACCUGGGCCUUCUGCUCCUCCCCUCUCCCGCCUGCUCCCUGGCCUGGGCCUUCUGGGGCUCUCAGGACCCAGGGCACCAACACCUCUGCAUGCCACCUCCUGCUCCGGCACCUCCAGGACUGGCCAUGUGAGGAGGGGAGCCAGGCUCAGAGGCCAGGCCACCACAGGGCUCCUGCACAGGAAAACAGGAAGCAGAAACAGGUCCACACCUAGCGCCUCCAGCCCUCAGGCCAGGGCCAGGAAACGGCUGCCAACACACCUGAAGUGAGGACCUGCAGGGCAGGUGAGGACCAGGUGAGGACCAGAUGAGGACCCAUGGGGCAGGUAAGGACCAGGUGAGGACCAGGAAACCAGGAAAGGACACACAGGGCAGGUGAGGACCAGGUGAGGACCCAUGGGGCAGGUGAGGACUAGGUGGGACCAGAUGAGGACCCACAGGGCAGGUGGGGACCAGGUGAGGACCCACAGAGCAGGUGAGGACCAGGUAAGGACCCACAGGGCAGGUGAGGACUAGGUGAAGACCAGGUGAGGACCCACAGGGCAGGUAAGGACUAGGUGGGACCAGGUGAGGACCAGGUAAGGACACACAGGGCAGGUGAGGACCAGGUGAGGACCCAUGGGGAAGGUGAGGACCAGGUGAGGACCAGGUGAGGACCCAAAGGGGAGGUGGGGACCAGGUGAGGACCCACAGGGCAGGUGGGGACCAAGUGAGGACCCCAGGGCAGGUGGGGACCAGGUGAGGACCCACAGGGCAGGUGAGGACUAGGUGGGACCAGGUGAGGACCAGGUAAGGACACACAGGGCAGGUGAGGACCAGGUGAGGACCCAUGGGGAAGGUGAGGACUAGGUGAGGACCAGGUGAGGACCCUCGGGGCAGGUGAGGAGCAGGUGAGGACCCGUGGGGCAAGGAAGUUUUAAUGGCUGUGGGCCCCUCCUGGACACCAGCUCUUCCAGCAAGUCAGGGUGGCACCAGCCCCAGGGUGGCACACCCUGGCUUUUGACAAAGGUGCGUGUCCAGCAAGGGCGACUGCUCAGCUAGGCCGAGCCCUGGUGGGCGUCACCCACCACGCACUGCUGGCAGCUCUCCCGUGGGCUGGGCCCAGCAGGUGGGUGAAGUCGACACAGGGAAGCUCACAGGACAGGGGCCACCUGCCCAGGGGGAAGCAGGGCCCUGGGAGAGCGGGUGGGUCCUCUGGGUCCAUCCUGCCCGUAGAUGAGAAGGGCAACAACCGCUGCUGGGGGGCUCAGGACUGCCGGGGCACACCCUUCUCUCCAGGGGUGUCCUGAGCCCAAGCCUGCCACUCCCUGGAUGUGGGCAACUGGCAGGUCCUCCCCCAUGUCAGCCCCGCUGCCGCACAACRGGUCGGCAGAAGCAGCUAACGAGAACCAGCUCCACUCUGCAGCCCCCUGGGUUGGGCCUGCACUCUGCCACCACGGGCCAGGAGGGCACUGGAGUGGGACCCCCGAGUCCCCAGGAAAGUGAUGGCACCUGCAGCUUCCACCCAGCCAGGCGUCCCUGCUCAUGGCCUCCCAGCUAAGAGGGCUGACCCUGCCCUUGGCCAGACAGCAAGCCUGGCCACAGAGCAGGAAGUCCACGAGCGUGUGCCCACACACGUGCCCGGUCUGCGUCCAUGUGUGAGCUGCCCACCUGGGACUGAGAGGAGUGUCCUGCACUGCAGGGGUCCAGGUGGGGCCUGUGUGCAUGUGUGCGCGCCAGGCUGGGCAGGUGGGGCAGCUCCA
Urocitellus parryii (Arctic ground squirrel) is the source of this 1787-nucleotide non-coding RNA. The record is from RefSeq and is a predicted model, not a curated record. Lineage: Eukaryota; Metazoa; Chordata; Mammalia; Rodentia; Sciuridae.